UGUAGAGAGAGCGAGAGGAUCGAGCCCUGGGCGUGCUGCUGACCGUGUACAGAGGGGGACCGCACAGGCCCGGUACCUGCUCCUGCUCUUCACAAGCCUGGGGCUGCAUACCACCGGAAGUCAGGCUCAUAUCACCGGAAGUCAGGCUCAUAUCACCGGAAGUCAGGCUGCCGUUUGCCACGCUGACGCCGCACACGGGGAUGCCCCCAUCACUGUCUAGGUGACAUCGUUCUCAGAUCAGGAAGAGAGAUGGACCACGGACCCAAAGUCAUUCAACUGGACAGCAAUGGAGAUGGGUCAAGCACCAGACCCUACUUCUUCCCAAGGAGAGCUCAGUGGCUGUGCAGCACCACCUGUGGAUGGAGGAGGAACGGCCAGCGAGUGGAUGAGGAAGAGCAUGACCUUCGCAGCCACCAGCCCCCACCUCCUUUGGUCACCCCAUGACCAUGAGCAUCAUGAAGAACAUCUCCAUGUCUCAGACAGCUCAUCUUUACAAUGUAAGGCUUGCAACAAAAAGCUAGCACCAGCAGUGAACACCACGUCCCCUCUUCCCAGGCUUUGUGUAUGCCUGAAGACAUUCUUGGGGCCCUAGAAUAUGACUGGAGACCUUUUAUACAUUGACAGUUCCAAAAAGCCAGCGAUAGCACGAGGAUCAAGGACACAGCCCUGGGACGAGCAGUGAUACAGUGUGGCUCCCUAGAUCACAGGACAGAGUAAACACCUUUCUCUGUGCUUGGAACCAUUGUGCAGUCUAAAACUAACCACACCCCAAGAUGCCAGGCCCACAACUGGGUGACCAUCUGCGAUGUCGGGAAAGCAUGCUGGCUCGUGGUCAGCGGUCCUGGGUUCAAGUGUCCGCUCUGCCACCUCUACCCAAUCACCUCGGACCCAUGUUGUACCAGAAAACCUCGAUUAACCAGAAGAAGAGUGUGUUUUCUGAAGACCUGACUUUUUGGCUAAUGGAACAUUUAUUUUAUUGUUUAUUAUGUGCGAUGCAGGGAACCGGCAAACGAUGUGGAACAGGCCUUAUGUCCUAUUUAAAAUCAAGUAAACUGGAGGAUCUCUGUGAGGCUCCAUGCCCAAGGACACAUGACUGGGAAGAACAGAGCUGGUAGUUGAGCCAGGAAGCCCUGCCCCAUGGUCCAAGUGCCAAACGGCUUCACUGGGCUUUACCUAACAUGCUUCAUUUUUUAAAAAGAAUUAUUUUAUUUAAUUUUAUUUGUUUUAAUUUGACCA
Tupaia belangeri chinensis (Chinese tree shrew) is the source of this 1236-nucleotide long non-coding RNA. RefSeq lists it as uncharacterized. The record is from RefSeq and is a predicted model, not a curated record. The transcript has 5 exons. Lineage: Eukaryota; Metazoa; Chordata; Mammalia; Scandentia; Tupaiidae.